RNAcentral lists this long non-coding RNA (344 nucleotides) under Mytilus galloprovincialis (Mediterranean mussel). Lineage: Eukaryota; Metazoa; Mollusca; Bivalvia; Mytilida; Mytilidae. The record is from RNAcentral.
CCAUUGUUAUAUUAUUGUUAGUUUCUAUGUGUGUUACAUUUUAACGUUGCGUCGUUUGUUUUCUCUUAUUUUUUAGUGUAAUUUCACAUUGCGAUAAGACGUGUCACGGUACUUGUCUAUCCCAAAUUCAUGUAUUUGGUUUUGAUGUUAUAUUUGUUAUUCUCGUGGGAUUUUGUCUGAUGCUUGGUCCGUUUCUGUGUGUGUUACAUUUUAGUGUUGUGUCGUUGUUCUCCUCUUAUAUUUAAUGCGUUUCCCUCGGUUUUAGUUUGUUACCCCGAUUUAGUUUUUUGUUCAUGGAUUUAUGAGUUUUGAACAGCGGUAUACUACUGUUGCCUUUAUGUAUA